AGCGAACGCUGGCGGCAGGCUUAACACAUGCAAGUCGAGCGGGCACUUUUGGGUGUCAGCGGCGGACGGGUGAGUAACGCGUGGGAACGUGCCCUCUGGUUCGGAAUAACUCAGGGAAACUUGAGCUAAUACCGGAUACGCCCUUUUGGGGAAAGGCUUGCUGCCGGAGGAUCGGCCCGCGUCUGAUUAGCUAGUUGGUGAGGUAACGGCUCACCAAGGCGACGAUCAGUAGCUGGUCUGAGAGGAUGAUCAGCCACACUGGGACUGAGACACGGCCCAGACUCCUACGGGAGGCAGCAGUGGGGAAUAUUGGGCAAUGGGCGCAAGCCUGAUCCAGCCAUGCCGCGUGAGUGAUGAAGGCCUUAGGGUUGUAAAGCUCUUUUAUCCGGGACGAUAAUGACGGUACCGGAGGAAUAAGCCCCGGCUAACUUCGUG
This 435-nucleotide ribosomal RNA is filed under the name uncultured bacterium. Its description in RNAcentral is "partial 16S ribosomal RNA". It matches the Rfam family "Bacterial small subunit ribosomal RNA", at positions 29 to 507 of the family's 1533-position model. The record is from RNAcentral.